Molecule: long non-coding RNA, 558 nt
Filed under: Physcomitrium patens
Lineage: Eukaryota; Viridiplantae; Streptophyta; Bryopsida; Funariales; Funariaceae
Description: long non-coding RNA (PPAT_LNC008315)
Source: RNAcentral
CUAAAAACAUAUCAAAAAAAUCUUUAAAAAAUAAUAAAAAUAAAAAUUAAUUAAAUCCUAAUUAAAUCUUAAUAUAAUCUUCAAUCAAUCAUAACCAAAUUUUAAAUAAAUCCUAAUAAAAUCCUAAAUUAAUCCUAAUUAAAUCCUAAAUAAAUCCUAAUCAAAUUCUAAACUAAUCUUAAUCAAAUCUUAAUGAAAUCCUAAAUCAACUCUAAUCAAAUCCUAACCAAAUCAUAACCAAAUUCCAAUGAAAUCCUAAAUAAAUCUUUAUCAAAUUCUAAUCAAAUCCUAAAUCUUAACCAAAUCUUAGAUCAAAUCCUAAUAAAAUCCUAAUCAAAUCUUAAUCAAAUUUUAAUCAGAUUUUGAACCAAAUUCUAAUAAAAUCCUAAAUUUAACCUUAAUUAAAUCCUAAAUCAAACCAUAAAUCCUAAACCAAACCUAAUCAAAUCCUAAAUCCUAAGCAGAGUCUUAAUAAAUCCUAUAUUAGAUUGAAACUUCAACAAAUAAUGUUCAAAGCAUUGAUAUCAACUUAAAAAAUAUAUACUUCUCAAAAACUUA